Molecule: ribosomal RNA, 492 nt
Filed under: uncultured bacterium
Lineage: Bacteria
Description: partial 16S ribosomal RNA
Rfam family: Bacterial small subunit ribosomal RNA
Source: RNAcentral
AGUGAACGCUGGCGGUAGGCCUAACACAUGCAAGUCGAACGGCAGCACAGUAAGAGCUUGCUCUUACGGGUGGCGAGUGGCGGACGGGUGAGGAAUACAUCGGAAUCUACUUUUUCGUGGGGGAUAACGUGGGGAAACUUACGCUAAUACCGCAUACGACCUACGGGUGAAAGCAGGGGAUCUUCGGACCUUGCGCGAUUGAAUGAGCCGAUGUCGGAUUAGCUAGUUGGCGGGGUAAAGGCCCACCAAGGCGACGAUCCGUAGCUGGUCUGAGAGGAUGAUCAGCCACACUGGAACUGAGACACGGUCCAGACUCCUACGGGAGGCAGCAGUGGGGAAUAUUGGACAAUGGGCGCAAGCCUGAUCCAGCCAUACCGCGUGGGUGAAGAAGGCCUUCGGGUUGUAAAGCCCUUUUGUUGGGAAAGAAAAGCAGCAGGUUAAUACCCCGCCGUUCUGACGGUACCCAAAGAAUAAGCACCGGCUAACUUCGUG